UGUCGAACGGGCCAGCGGAAACGACGAAAAAUUCUGCGGUUGAAAUCGCUCAAAAACAGAAAGCUCUGCAGGCACGUCUUCAACUGCCAUCAUUGUCAACGGAUUCCCGGACAAGUGAUUCGGAACCGUGUGAGCCACUUGCAGAAAUUCAGGAACGGAAGAAUCUUUUUCCAGAAAUAACUAUCCCACUGGCUAAAAGCAGAAACAACAGGAAGGUGGUGAACAUUCUUGAACUGCUAAGUAAGAGCACAAUUGAUCGUGAACCCAAUGCCAAAGGUUUCUGCAGAACCACUGCCAAAGCCCAGUAAAAUUUGCCCAUCGGUUGGAGCCAGUGGUCAGGAAGCCAGUAAACUUUACUGGGAGCAUUCACACUUGCCUUGGUUGAAGGAAAAUUUUUAUUGUUAAGUUUCUCGAGAAUAAUUUCUUUUAUGCGACUUCUAAACGAGGAAUCGUGAUACGGAAAUUCUAGAGAGAGUAAACCUAGAUUGGUGAUUCGAAUGGUAAUGGCGGUUCAAAAUGAAAGCAUUCUUGACUUGGAUCGGGACUAAAAACCGUUGAUGGAAUGCCCAAAGGAAGAACAGACAGCUGAAGGCGGAACAUGCAAAUAUUGCCUAACAACAAUAUUUAAGCUUCCCACCAUCAAUCGAUUCAUAAUGUCACCAGGUGCACCACUAUCACCAUGGCAUCAUCAACAGCAGCAACAGUAGAUCUCUGGCGGAUGGAGAAUGUUCAACAUUCUGGGUCAUCUGGUAGAAUCGAACACGACGAAACAGCGACCAUCAGUAAUGAAAUUUAUUUAAAACUCUGGAUACUCCGUAACAAACGCCGAUGAACGAAGCGAAACCACUGCCAGGAGUGUACAAUAGUCAUCAAACGCAGCAAGAAAUCUACUUCCAACUGAAUCGAGAAGUUGGGCAAUUGACAACAGGAGCCGAAAACCAUUCCAUCGAUACAGCGGGAAUACUACCUUGGCAUUAUUUACUGGAACUGUUUCUAUAGGAUCCGAAACUGUAUUGUAGUUUUGAAAAUUCAGUAGCUUUCUCUGCUCGAAUGCUGCCUUGACUAUUCUGGGCAUUCCGGGUGGGAAUAGUACUCCGAUGAGUCUCAGAAAAGCAAGCUGAAGAAUCACUAUAAAAUUUAUCAAUUUUAGACAAGCUGCUGGAAGAUUUUAGUUAUUCACUAAGGAUCUGAAUUAAUGACGAUAUUUUUUUUCAAUUCAGGUUUUUUUAAUUCUAAAAUUUAUAAUUUAUUGUAUACAUUUUCUGUAAACAAAUUAAAAUUGAAACAAUAGUUCAAUAAACAAUAUUAUCUCUACAUGAA
Long non-coding RNA from Uranotaenia lowii, 1320 nucleotides. RefSeq lists it as uncharacterized. NCBI's taxonomy places the organism in Eukaryota, Metazoa, Arthropoda, Insecta, Diptera, Culicidae. The record is from RefSeq and is a predicted model, not a curated record. The transcript is spliced from 4 exons.